Molecule: ribosomal RNA, 253 nt
Filed under: uncultured bacterium
Lineage: Bacteria
Description: partial 16S ribosomal RNA
Rfam family: Bacterial small subunit ribosomal RNA
Source: RNAcentral
UACGAAGGGGGCUAGCGUUGCUCGGAAUCACUGGGCGUAAAGGGUGCGUAGGCGGGUCUUUAAGUCAGGGGUGAAAUCCUGGAGCUCAACUCCAGAACUGCCUUUGAUACUGAGGAUCUUGAGUUCGGGAGAGGUGAGUGGAACUGCGAGUGUAGAGGUGAAAUUCGUAGAUAUUCGCAAGAACACCAGUGGCGAAGGCGGCUCACUGGCCCGUAACUGACGCUGAGACUCGAAAGCGUGGGGAGCAAACAGG